AUGAAUCCGAACGGCGGAGCUUGCAGUGAGCUGAGAUCCGGCCACUGCACUCCAGCCUGGGCGACAGAGCAAGACUCCGUCUCAAAAAAAAAAAAAAAAAAGAUGCUGGACACAAGUCACCAAUGUUCUUGUGUUAAAAGAAGCAUUCGUGUCCUAAAGAGUAAGGGUGGUGUUUCAGGACCAUGGACAGUAGCACAUGGCUCUGGAUGCCUAAAAAGGCUCCCAACACUCAUCUCACCCUGCUCCAGAAGGGCUCAUCAAGGUUGGCAGUGGACACCUUGCAGGUUAAAUCCACGGUCUUCCUCCAAGUCAAGCUUAGAAAACUCUUCCCAGCAAAAUAGCACAUAGUAGGAACUGAAUAAAUUUUUGUUCAAUUAAUUAACAAAUUUAUUACAGCAAAGAGUUAUACUUAUGUGCUCCAUUCACCCAACAGAUAUUUAUUUAAGCCCCUGUUGUGCGACAUGCAUGAACCUUUCAGGCAAGAUGUUUUGUGACUGAGGCCCUUGUUUCGUGGUGUGUAGCUGGUGUCUUAUGAGUACGACAGUAGGCGCUACAUGGGGCUGCUUCCUGCCUGCACCUCUGGUAGAAAGUGAAGCCUAAUACAAUUCUUCCUGUUUUCUUCUGUUAAAAUUCUGGACCACUUGUUUGUCCAUCAACAUUUCUUCUUCUCUUCUGAUUUCUGUCACUCUCCCUAGAGCCUAAGACAUUAGAGAAUGCAAAUAAGGUCUUUCUCUCUCAUCUACAUUCGCAGCCCUACAGCACCAUUUCAGAUUUUGUACUGUGCAACCAAAUAUUUCCCCACUCCUACUCCCAUUUCCGUCACUCUCCCUAGAGCCUGAAACAUCAGAGAAUGCAAAUAAGGUAUUUCUUCCCCUGUCUUCAUUCCCAGCCCUGUGGCACCUAACAUUUCAGAUUUUGUACUGUGCAACCGAAUCUUUUCCUACUCCUACUCCCACUUCCAUCCCUACUCCUUAAACAAGUACUAGUCUUAAAGGAAAAACACCGCUUUUUGUCAUUGUUUCUUCUGAAGUACCUAGCACAGAGCCUGGCUUGUAGUUGUGUGUCAGUAAAUAAAUGAGAAUAAAAGCCCCAUGAGGGUGGGGACUUCUGACUAUUUUAUAAUAUGUUAUGAUAUGUUAGACAUUCAAUAAAUGUAUGUUCAAUUAAUUGAUUAAUAAAUUAACAUAUUUAUCUGUGAUAAAUAUCACAGGGAAAGGUUAUGCUUAUCUGCUCAUUAAUUCAACCAGCAAAUAUUUAUUAAGCAUCUAUCAUGUAUCGUACACUAGGAAUAUAACAGGCAAAAAUCUUCAUCCUAUUGGAACUUACAUUCUAGUGGGGGAAAUAGAAAAGAAACAAGUAAAUACACAGAAAAAUGGCAUAAUAUAAUUUGAGACAGUGGGUAGUGAUAUAAAGAAAAUAAAGCAACAAUGAACAGUGGUGGUUAUUUUGGGUCACAUGGUCAGGAAAGUCCUCUCUGAAGGAUGGCAUCAGGGCAGAGACUUGAAUGUAGUGAAGGAAAGGCAAGGAUCAGGGGAAGAGGGUCUCACGGAGAAAAUCAAAUUUAAAGGCCCUGGGCUGGAAUGAACAUUUGAGGAACACAAGAAUCUAAUGUGGCUGUAGGGACUGAGAGUGGGGGAGGGUGAUAAAAAAUGAAGUCAGUGAAAUCGUGUUAAUUAUUUACAUAUUAAUUUACAGAUCAACUUUGAACCACAAAACACACACACACACACACACACACACACAAAAUAUAUAUAAAAGGGUACGUAGUAGGCCAGGCACAGUGGCUCAUGCCUGUAAUCCCAGCACUUUAGGAAGCUGAGGUGGAUGGAUCACAAGGUCAAGAGUUCGAGAUCACCUGGCCAGCAUGGUGAAACCCCAUCUCUACUAAAAAUACAAAAAUUAGCCAGGCGUGGUGAUGCACGCCUGUAAUUCCAGCUACUCAGGAGACUGAGGCAGGAGAAUCACUGGAACCUGGGAGGCAGAGGUUGCAGUGAUCCAAGAUUGCGCCACUGCACUCCAGCUUGGGUGACACAGUGAAACUCAAUCUGCAAAAAAAAAAAAAAAAAAAAAAAGGGUACAUAGUAAAGUAUCCCUCCAAUCCAGGUCACCCUGCCACCUAGUUCCCUUUCUGAUAGGCAACUAAUGUCAUUGGUUUCUUGUGUGUCCUGUGCAUAUAUAAACAAACACGUAUAUUUAUAUAUUAAUGCCUUCUUUUACAGACCUAGUAAUAUACUGUACACUGUUCUAUACUGUGUUCUUUUCUCUUAACAUAUCUUGAAAAUCUUCCUAAAUACUUUGUUUGCAAUUGUGUGUAUUGUGAGGAUGACCUGUAACUUGUUUAACCAAUCCCCUACUGGUGCGUAAUUAUAUUUUUAAUAUUUUUCUAUAAUGAAAACCCUACCACAAGCCUUUAAACCUAAGGUUAAGGCUUUGAAGUAACAUCAACCAGGGUUCAAAUUCUGGUUUUUACUUAGAAGCUAAGUGACUUUGGGAUGCUAUGCGGGCUCUGUUCUCUGUUUCCUCAGCUGAGGAAUGAGGAUCCUAAUACUGUCAUGACAACCUUUUGGGGAGAUGUAUGUGAAGUGCUCAGCAUGGUACCUAGCCCAAGAGAGUAAUAUUGUCCUAACAAAAUUCACCACAUACUGAGUGCUGCUGUGUACUGGGCUCCAAGCUGAGAAUUCACAUGUUGUCUCAUGUCAUCUUCACAACCCUAAAAGGUAAGGACUACUAUUUCCACAUUUGCAAUGUGCCACUCUCCUUUCAUUUCCAUUCCUCCAUCCAUCUACUCCAUAUUCCUUCAUCCAUAUCCA
This 2810-nucleotide long non-coding RNA is filed under the name Papio anubis (olive baboon). Its description in RNAcentral is "lncRNA (ENSPANG00000040664.1)". The record is from RNAcentral. Lineage: Eukaryota; Metazoa; Chordata; Mammalia; Primates; Cercopithecidae.